GUGCUGAGUAUUCAAAUUAUUAACUAGUAAUUUUUAACUCUGUCGCCUGAUAUCAAUAGUAUAACAAUGCCAUGAAUGUCAUGCCAUUAACUUGUUUUGUAAAAAUGUAUGUAUGCACUGUUGUUAGAACACCAAAAAUAUCAAUAAAAAAAGAAAAAAAAAGAAGUUGACUGCCGCGAAAUAGCACAAUAAAGUUCAAAGUGGUGUUAAAGAACCAAUUUUUGGAAAAACAUGUAUUAUGUUGAGAAUAUGUCAGUUAUUUUUUACUUGUUCCGUUAAUUGAUGGUAUUUCAGUUUUCAUGACUACCACCGUUUGAAUAUGCCUUGGUGUUCAGUACUUUUGUUAGACUUUUUUACUAAUAGAUAAAACCAUAAGCUGGAUAUUCUAGUAGUUAAAACCAGAAGCUGGACUUUUAAAAAGAUCUAGAUACAUCCAUAUACAAGGCAAUCUUUACAACUCAAAAUAUUCCUUUAGAAAAAAAACUAACGGUAACUCUCACGAUUGUUUGAAAUAAUACAAAAUUAAU
RNAcentral lists this long non-coding RNA (527 nucleotides) under Mytilus galloprovincialis (Mediterranean mussel). Lineage: Eukaryota; Metazoa; Mollusca; Bivalvia; Mytilida; Mytilidae. The record is from RNAcentral.